Molecule: ribosomal RNA, 497 nt
Filed under: uncultured bacterium
Lineage: Bacteria
Description: partial 16S ribosomal RNA
Rfam family: Bacterial small subunit ribosomal RNA
Source: RNAcentral
GAUGAACGCUGGCGGCGUGCCUAAUACAUGCAAGUCGAGCGAACAGACGAGUAGCUUGCUCCUCUGACGUUAGCGGCGGACGGGUGAGUAACACGUGGAUAACCUACCUAUAAGACUGGGAUAACUUCGGGAAACCGGAGCUAAUACCGGAUAAUAUAUUGAACCGCAUGGUUCAAUAGUGAAAGACGGUUUUGCUUUCACUUAUAGAUGGAUCCGCGCCGCAUUAGCUAGUUGGUAAGGUAACGGCUUACCAAGGCAACGAUGCGUAGCCGACCUGAGAGGGUGAUCGGCCACACUGGAACUGAGACACGGUCCAGACUCCUACGGGAGGCAGCAGUAGGGAAUCUUCCGCAAUGGGCGAAAGCCUGACGGAGCAACGCCGCGUGAGUGAUGAAGGUCUUCGGAUCGUAAAACUCUGUUAUUAGGGAAGAACAAAUGUGUAAGUAACUAUGCACGUCUUGACGGUACCUAAUCAGAAAGCCACGGCUAACUACGUG